This is a long non-coding RNA of Chinchilla lanigera (long-tailed chinchilla), 274 nucleotides long. RefSeq lists it as uncharacterized. The record is from RefSeq and is a predicted model, not a curated record. The transcript has 3 exons. Lineage: Eukaryota; Metazoa; Chordata; Mammalia; Rodentia; Chinchillidae.
ACACAUAGAGACGACAUGAGAGUAGGGGUUCCAGGGCUAGGGGAGGGUGGCAGGGAGCCAGGAGCCUUGGUUUAGUGGGGACAGAGUUCAGUUUUGUGACUGUAAGGCUCUGGAGACAGACAGUACCGAUAGUCACACUGUGCUGUGGAGGUGCUUAACAUGGAACCAUGCCCUUCAAGAUAACUGGUUGUAUACAGUUUCCUAGGUGCAGGAGCACAUUCCUGUAAUACCAGCACUUCUGGAAGUCUGAGGCAAGAUGAUUGAAAUUGGCGAG